Molecule: non-coding RNA, 84 nt
Organism: Gymnopilus junonius
Lineage: Eukaryota; Fungi; Basidiomycota; Agaricomycetes; Agaricales; Galerinaceae
Source: the annotation of a GenBank genome assembly
GGCCGGCUAGCUCAGUUGGUUAGAGCGUGGUGCUAAUACUUCUCGUUAACGCCAAGGUCCUGGGUUCGACCCCCAUGUUGGCCA